This 722-nucleotide ribosomal RNA is filed under the name Pristimantis yumbo. RNAcentral describes it as "partial 16S ribosomal RNA". It matches the Rfam family "Bacterial large subunit ribosomal RNA", at positions 834 to 2090 of the family's 2925-position model. Lineage: Eukaryota; Metazoa; Chordata; Amphibia; Anura; Strabomantidae. The record is from RNAcentral.
ACGACUUAGCGAUAGCUGGUUUCUCAAUAAAAGAAUUUUAGUCCAACCUAAAGCAAUAAAUGUACACAUAAAUUAACCACUCGCUUUAGAGCAAUUCAAAUAAGGUACAGCCUAUUUGAUACAGGACCCAACCUUGAUUAAUGGGUAACUCUCGAUUCACAUAUAUAAGUAGGCCUAAGAGCAGCCAUCUUUUUAAAAGCGUCAUAGCUUAACCAUGCCGAUCCUAAUUUCUUAACCACACGUGACCCCUUUAAUUGUACUGAGAACUUCUAUAAAACUAUAGAACUUUUUAUGCUAAAACUAGUAACAAGAGGUAACCCCUCUCUAUAAUGCAAGUAUAACCCAGCAAGAACCCACCACUGGCAACUAACAGACCUAAACAAAAGUAGCAACCCAUCUAGAAAACCCUACCCCAAUAACUGUUAAUCUAAUACCAGAGCAUUUCAAGAAAGAUUAAAAGAAAAAGAAGGAAUUCGGCAAACAUUAGCCCCGCCUGUUUACCAAAAACAUCGCCUCUUGCCCCUAUAAGAGGUCUAGCCUGCCCAGUGACUUCUGUUCAACGGCCGCGGUAUCCUAACCGUGCGAAGGUAGCGUAAUCACUUGUUUCCUAAAUAGAGACCAGUAUGAAAGGCAUCACGAGGACUAAACUGUCUCCUUUCUCUAAUCAGUGAACCUAAUCGCCCCGUGAAGAAGCGGGGUUUUUUAUAUAAGACGAGAAGACC